UACGUAGGGACCAAGCGUUAUCCGGAAUUACUGGGCGUAAAGGGUGCGCAGGCGGGCAUGCAAGUCUGACGUGAAAGCCCCGAGCUUAACUCGGGAAGUGCGCCGGAUACUGCAUGUCUUGAGGACCAGAGAGGCAGAGAGAAUUCCUGGUGUAGCGGUGAAAUGCGUAGAUAUCAGGAGGAAUACCUGUGGCGAAAGCGCUCUGCUGGAUGGUUCCUGACGCUGAGGCACGAAAGCGUGGGUAGCAAACGGG
Molecule: ribosomal RNA, 253 nt
Filed under: uncultured bacterium
Lineage: Bacteria
Description: partial 16S ribosomal RNA
Rfam family: Bacterial small subunit ribosomal RNA
Source: RNAcentral